RNAcentral lists this ribosomal RNA (467 nucleotides) under uncultured bacterium. RNAcentral's name for it is "partial 16S ribosomal RNA". It matches the Rfam family "Bacterial small subunit ribosomal RNA", at positions 29 to 507 of the family's 1533-position model. The record is from RNAcentral.
ACGCACGCUGGCGGCGUGCUUCACUCCUGCAAGUCGAACGGAAAGGCCCUGCUUUUGUGGGGUGCUCGAGUGGCGAACGGGUGAGUAACACGUGAGUAACCUGCCCUUGACUUUGGGAUAACUUCAGGAAACUGGGGCUAAUACCGGAUAGGAGCUCCUGCUGCCUGGUGGGGGUUGGAAAGUUUCGGCGGUUGGGGCUGGACUCGCGGCUUAUCAGCUUGUUGGUGGGGUAGUGGCUUACCAAGGCUUUGACGGGUAGCCGGCCUGAGAGGGUGACCGGCCACAUUGGGACUGAGAUACGGCCCAGACUCCUACGGGAGGCAGCAGUGGGGAAUAUUGCACAAUGGGCGGAAGCCUGAUGCAGCAACGCCGCGUGCGGGAUGACGGCCUUCGGGUUGUAAACCGCUUUCGCCUGUGACGAAGCGUGAGUGACGGUAAUGGGUAAAGAAGCACCGGCUAACUACGUG